RNAcentral lists this long non-coding RNA (968 nucleotides) under Monodelphis domestica (gray short-tailed opossum). RNAcentral describes it as "lncRNA (ENSMODG00000048723.1)". The record is from RNAcentral. Lineage: Eukaryota; Metazoa; Chordata; Mammalia; Didelphimorphia; Didelphidae.
AAUUUUUUGAAUAUUUUAUCUUUGCUCAGAAAAAAAAAGAACAAAUUGCAAAUUAUCUAAGUUGUAUUUCUUUUGCAAGAAGAAAGCUUAUGGGUCCAGAUGGUUGGAUUGGCUCAUGGGCUAAUGACACUAAUACUUAAUGACAAUAUCACAGGAGACAGUGCCCAACUAUGACUAUACAAGGAGCAGAAGGAAAUCCUCCUUUCCCAUUCUGCUGCUCCUCUUCUUUUCUCUAAGCUCAUCUAGGCCGACAUUUGACAGUCAGAGGAUGCAUCAUCCAAGGAAACAGAGCCAAAUAUUUGAUUUGGAUGAUUGCAUGGAAAAUGUUUUCUCCUAGCUCCAGUGCCCAGGCUCUUUUCAAUGGAAGACUGUCAUUGUCAAAAACAACAUUCUCAAAUUUCUGGAUCUUUUGUUAAGAACAGAUCAAAGAACCAUGAAUGGAAUUUUUUAAUGAAACAACAGUUCAUAGUAAAAAUAAAAAAAAUAUUGAACUUGGAGUCAGAAGAAGAGAGUUAACUCUCUGGAGAAAGGCUUUUGGCAACUUUGCGGCUUGGGCAACUUUGUGGCUUGGGCGGCUUUUGUGGCUUUUGGCGACUUUCAGGCUUUGGCAGACUUGGCUCUGGAACUUGAACCUGGAGGAGCUCAGUGUGAGAUCUCAGACUGCUUUUCUUGAAGGGACUACAUGGAGGAUGACUCUUUGGGGCCUAAAAGAAAUAUACAAAGGCCUAGAGAAAUACUUUCAGCACCUCUUUGGAAGACUUAAAUGAAAUAAUGGACAAAAAUCAAGCAGGAUGAGAAAUCAUGACUGAGUUGCAGCCUACAACUAUGAGAGAGACUCACACUAAUGCAAUACCCAAAUCAAAAAUAGCAAAAUAGCUUAACCUAAAAGGAGGAGAAUUGGAUCUGUUGUGCUUUGAAGGUUUUACUCUGAAAAGAAAAAUACAAAUAAACUCUUCAAAGAGUUACCA